CUUAACAAUAUUUCUCAAGAAUAAAAGAGUAAUUGAAUAUAUGUUGUGUAAAAUAUUCUAAAGAACAAUGAUAAUUGUACACCUCAUUUUGGGGUGUAAAUCUUACAUCCCUUCAAUCCAAUGAUAGAAAUACUUUUUUGUCUUGUCAACUUAUUUUUUAUAUAAAAUAUUAAAAAUAAAAAAUGUGCGUGAAUCCUAGGAUAAAGUUGUAAGAUGUACACCCCCAUAAUAGGAGUAUAUAUAUCU
Molecule: long non-coding RNA, 246 nt
Filed under: Ananas comosus (pineapple)
Lineage: Eukaryota; Viridiplantae; Streptophyta; Magnoliopsida; Poales; Bromeliaceae
Description: long non-coding RNA (ACOM_LNC029137)
Source: RNAcentral